This 253-nucleotide ribosomal RNA is filed under the name uncultured bacterium. RNAcentral's name for it is "partial 16S ribosomal RNA". It matches the Rfam family "Bacterial small subunit ribosomal RNA", at positions 524 to 776 of the family's 1533-position model. The record is from RNAcentral.
UACGUAUGGAGCAAGCGUUAUCCGGAUUUACUGGGUGUAAAGGGAGCGCAGACGGCAGGGCAAGUCUGAUGUGAAAACCCGGGGCUCAACCCCGGGACUGCAUUGGAAACUGUCCGGCUAGAGUGCAGGAGGGGCAGGCGGAAUUCCUGGUGUAGCGGUGAAAUGCGUAGAUAUCAGGAGGAACACCGGUGGCGAAGGCGGCCUGCUGGACUGUAACUGACGUUGAGGCUCGAAAGCGUGGGGAGCAAACAGG